CCUACGGGUGGCAGCAGUGGGGAAUAUUGCACAAUGGAGGAAAGUCUGAUGCAGCGACGCCGCGUGAGGGAGGAAGGAUUUCGGUAUGGAAAGCUCUAUUAGUAGGGAAGAAAAUGACGGUACGUGACUAAGAAUCCCUGGCUAACGUCGUGCCAGCAGCCGCGGUAAUACGUAGGGGGCAAGCGUUAUCCGGAUUUACUGGGUGUAAAGGGAGCGUAGACGGUUAAUCAAGUCAGAAGUGAAAGCCCAUGGCUCAACCGUGGGACUGCAUUUGACACUGGGCAGCUAGAGUGCAGGAGAGGUAAGCGGAAUUCCUAGUGUAGCGGUGAAAUGCGUAGAUAUUAGGAGGAACACCAGUGGCGAAGGCGGCUUACUGGACUGUAACUGACGUUGAGGCUCGAAAGCGUGGGGAGCAAACAGGAUUAGAUACCCGAGUAGUC
RNAcentral lists this ribosomal RNA (440 nucleotides) under uncultured bacterium. Its description in RNAcentral is "partial 16S ribosomal RNA". It matches the Rfam family "Bacterial small subunit ribosomal RNA", at positions 338 to 795 of the family's 1533-position model. The record is from RNAcentral.